This 253-nucleotide ribosomal RNA is filed under the name uncultured bacterium. Its description in RNAcentral is "partial 16S ribosomal RNA". It matches the Rfam family "Bacterial small subunit ribosomal RNA", at positions 524 to 776 of the family's 1533-position model. The record is from RNAcentral.
UACGGAGGGUGCAAGCGUUGUCCGGAUUUAUUGGGUUUAAAGGGUGCGUAGGUGGCCUUAUAAGUCAGCGGUGAAAGUCUGCAGCUUAACUGUAGAACUGCCAUUGAUACUGUAAGGCUUGAGUACUGAUGGGGUAGGCGGAAUUGAUAGUGUAGCGGUGAAAUGCAUAGAUAUUAUCAAGAACACCGAUUGCGAAGGCAGCUUACUAAGGAGUUACUGACACUGAGGCACGAAAGCGUGGGGAUCAAACAGG